UACGAAGGGUGCAAGCGUUAGUCGGAAUUACUGGGCGUAAAGCGUGCGUAGGCGGUUUGUUAAGUCGGAUGUGAAAGCCCCGGGCUCAACCUGGGAAUGGCACUCGAUACUGGCAAGCUGGAGUACGGUAGAGGAUGGUGGAAUUCCCGGUGUAGCGGUGAAAUGCGUAGAGAUCGGGAGGAACACCCGUAGCGAAGGCGGCACUCUGGGCCGGUACUGACGCUGAGGAGCGAAAGCGUGGGGAGCAAACAGG
RNAcentral lists this ribosomal RNA (253 nucleotides) under uncultured bacterium. Its description in RNAcentral is "partial 16S ribosomal RNA". It matches the Rfam family "Bacterial small subunit ribosomal RNA", at positions 524 to 776 of the family's 1533-position model. The record is from RNAcentral.